GGGUUGUGAGGUUAAGCGACUAAGCGUACACGGUGGAUGCCCUGGCAGUCAGAGGCGAUGAAGGGCGUGCUAAUCUGCGAUAAGCGCCGGUAAGGUGAUAUGAACCGUUAUAACCGGCGAUACCCGAAUGGGGAAACCCAGUGUGACUCGUCACACUAUCAUUAACUGAAUCCAUAGGUUAAUGAGGCGAACCGGGGGAACUGAAACAUCUAAGUACCCCGAGGAAAAGAAAUCAACCGAGAUUCCCCCAGUAGCGGCGAGCGAACGGGGAGGAGCCCAGAGCCUGAAUCAGCAUGUGUGUUAGUGGAAGCGUCUGGAAAGGCGCGCGAUACAGGGUGACAGCCCCGUACACAAAAGCGCAUGUGCUGUGAGCUCGAUGAGUAGGGCGGGACACGUGGUAUCCUGUCUGAAUAUGGGGGGACCAUCCUCCAAGGCUAAAUACUCCUGACUGACCGAUAGUGAACCAGUACCGUGAGGGAAAGGCGAAAAGAACCCCGGCGAGGGGAGUGAAAAAGAACCUGAAACCGUGUACGUACAAGCAGUGGGAGCACCCUUUGGGGUGUGACUGCGUACCUUUUGUAUAAUGGGUCAGCGACUUAUAUUCUGUAGCAAGGUUCAC
Molecule: ribosomal RNA, 619 nt
Filed under: Salmonella enterica subsp. enterica serovar Bovismorbificans
Lineage: Bacteria; Pseudomonadati; Pseudomonadota; Gammaproteobacteria; Enterobacterales; Enterobacteriaceae
Description: partial 23S ribosomal RNA
Rfam family: Bacterial large subunit ribosomal RNA
Source: RNAcentral